RNAcentral lists this long non-coding RNA (1069 nucleotides) under Equus asinus (donkey). Its description in RNAcentral is "lncRNA (ENSEASG00005025242.1)". The record is from RNAcentral. Lineage: Eukaryota; Metazoa; Chordata; Mammalia; Perissodactyla; Equidae.
GAACCGGCGAACCUCGGCCCCUGAAAAGUGGAACGUGCACACUUAACCACUAUGCCACCGGGCUGGCCCCCAGAACCAUAGUUUAAUAGGAACAUACAAUGUGACUUACAGAAAUGUUUCCAUACUAGUUUUAAGGAACACAUCUGUAGCACAAAUCAAGUGCAUUGAUGGAAAAAAUUCUGUAUUUUAUUUAUACAUUAAUGUAUACAGAUGUGCUGAAAACUAUUGAAAAGCUAUUUGUGGAUAUGAAUCCAAUGGAGUCAACUCAUGAGACUAUGAAAUACACGUAUUAGCAAAGUGUUGUGUUAAGAAAACUGUGACUCCCCCAUUCAAAGUAGCUUUUGAAGACACUAGAAGUACUUUUGAAAGCCAAAAAAGAUGAACCCUCACAAAGCUGAAAACAACACUGCAGACGUCAUCUAGGUGGAGUCACUAACAACUGAAAGAAGACAGAGUUUAAGAAAAAAAACCCAUAAGCUUUGGCACAUGAAACAGAGACCUCCUGAAAAAUAAAAAUGAAAUUAAAUGAUUAUGCUCUCAUUGCUAAAACAGCAAUGUGUAUGACCUGCACCUCUGCCUUGCUCGAAACACUAGUGACGUAGCUGGUCCCUGUGUGCUGAUUCAGGUAAUUUGUAAAUAGAUUUAAGGUAAGUCCAGUGUAAUGACUACAUUCUUUUAAAGUUAAUAGGCUAUGGCUCCAUAAUGUUAAAUCAUGAGUUUAAGCCUAUUCUCUUUAGAAAUAAAAAGUCAUUUCUAUACGUUCCUCUCAAUUCUCUAUUACACAGGAAGUUACUUCAGGGUGGGGAUUAUAUCUUGGGUCUUUCUAGCACUUCUUAUCCCACCUCAUGUAACCUCCAGCCCCUGUCCUGGCGACAGGCCACGUACCAGAACACACUUAUUUAACUGAAUGACUGGAAAACUUAUUAGCCUUUCUUAUGAUGGAGUCACUUCACAGGGCCCCUUGGGAAAGCUGUGGAAGGCUGUACCAGUUCCAGAAGGCCUGUCGCAUUUUUAAUGGAAUUUCUUUUUCUGUAUUUAUCGCUCUUUCUUUCUAAUUCUGCUCCUUUGG